CCUACGGGGGGUAGCAGUGAGGAAUAUUGGUCAAUGGGCGAGAGCCUGAACCAACCAAGUCGCGUGAGGGAUGACGGUCCUAGGGAUUGUAAACCUCUUCUGUCGGGGAACAAAGGCGUCCACGUGUGGACUGAUGAGUGUACCCGACGAACAAGCAUCGGCUAACUCCGUGCCAGCAGCCGAGGUAAUACGGAGGAUGCGAUCGUUAUCAGGAUUUAUUGGGUUAAAAGGGGGCGUAGGAGGACAGUCAGGUCAGCGGUAAACAUGCGGUGCUAAAAGCCGUACAGCCGUUGAAACUGGCAGGCUUGAGUGGGCGAGAAGUAUGCGGAAUGCGUGGUGUAGCGGUGAAAUGCAUAGAUAUCACGCAGAACUCCGAUUGCGAAGGCAGCAUACCGGCGCCCUACUGACGCUGAGGCACGAAAGCGUGGGUAUCGAACAGGAUUAGAUACCCCUGUAGUC
This 459-nucleotide ribosomal RNA is filed under the name uncultured bacterium. RNAcentral's name for it is "partial 16S ribosomal RNA". It matches the Rfam family "Bacterial small subunit ribosomal RNA", at positions 338 to 795 of the family's 1533-position model. The record is from RNAcentral.